This 468-nucleotide ribosomal RNA is filed under the name uncultured bacterium. Its description in RNAcentral is "partial 16S ribosomal RNA". It matches the Rfam family "Bacterial small subunit ribosomal RNA", at positions 28 to 507 of the family's 1533-position model. The record is from RNAcentral.
GACGAACGCUGGCGGCAUGCUUAACACAUGCAAGUCGAACGGAAAGGCCCUGCUUUUGUGGGGUGCUCGAGUGGCGAACGGGUGAGUAACCCGUGAGUAACCUGCCCUUGACUGUGGGAUAACUUCAGGAAACUGGGGCUAAUACCGGAUAGGAGCUCCUGCUGCAUGGUGGGGGUUGGAAAGUUUCGGCGGUUGGGGAUGGACUCGCGGGUUAUCAGCUUGUUGGUGGGGUAGUGGCUUACCAGGGCUUUGACGGGUAGCCGGCCUGAGAGGGUGGCCGGCGACAAUGGGACUGAGAUACGGCCCAGACUCCUAUGGGAGGCAGCAGUGGGGAAUAUUGCCCAAUGGGCGGAAGUCUGAUGCAGCAACGCCGCGUGUGGGAUGACGGCCUUCGGGUUGUAAACCGCUUUCGGCUGUGACGAAGCGUGAGUGACGGUAAUGGGUAAAGAAGCACCGGCUAACUACGUG